GGGGGCGACUUGGCUUCGACGUGGGUUACAAAGUUGAAGAGGGCAUGCCGAGGACUGUUCACCUCGUAAAUCAAACAGAAAAAACUAAACGCAAACAAUAAAACGUUCGCAUUAGCAGCUUAAUCGCUCGCUAGCCGCCGUUCUCGGUUGUCUUUGGCUGAGAUAAUGGCGUCAUUUACGAAGAAUCGACGGUAUUUGGGUGACUUAAAUACGGUUUAAAUCCAAGGUCAAUCGCGAGACAAGUGUCAGCUGGGUUGAUGCGACUCUCGCUAAAGUUGAAACAAUCCAGCUAAGCAUGUAGAACUCUCAAUAGAGGGCUUGCGGACGGGGGUUCGAUUCCCCCCGCCUCCACCA
Molecule: transfer-messenger RNA, 354 nt
Filed under: Formosimonas limnophila
Lineage: Bacteria; Pseudomonadati; Pseudomonadota; Betaproteobacteria; Burkholderiales; Burkholderiaceae
Description: Standard tmRNA
Rfam family: transfer-messenger RNA
About the family: Bacterial tmRNA, also known as 10Sa RNA or SsrA, is named for its dual tRNA and mRNA-like properties. Its role is to liberate the mRNA from a stalled ribosome.
Source: Rfam by way of RNAcentral